CACCAACAGUGGUUACAACUCAGGCUGAGGAAAGAAACACAACAUUGACAACAUGGCAAAAACUACAACAAGACGAGUCCUACUUUGCUUUUGCUCACUGACAGGAGGAAGAUGUUGGGAGCAACAGCUGCUCCUCAUCCAAACAGCUCUCUACUCAGCUUCAGAAUCCUUAAGAAUCCUUACUUUCCAACGGACCAGGAAUGCCUGACGACCAAGAGUUGCAAUGAUUUUGAGGCUAAGCUCAUUAAGCAGUUCAUCAAUGAGCUGAAGAGCAAAAAGGCAUUGAUGGAGAGCCAGAAUACGCCUGUCUCGUCUGUGGAUAACCAUAACAGAGAAGAGUGAGACCAGAGGGGAAAGCUUCAGAGUUAGUCGUUCAAUUUGCCAGAGAUAAGAUUAAUUUUCCUCUGCUACGAUAAUCUUUGCACUAUCACUAGCUGCUAACACUCAACAUUAAUGAGGAGAAUAACGAAGAAGCUUGAUAUCAUUGUGCUCAGCAGAACUGAAGUAUGGAAGAAAUGUUAAUGAAA
Non-coding RNA from Oncorhynchus mykiss (rainbow trout), 527 nucleotides. The record is from RefSeq and is a predicted model, not a curated record. Lineage: Eukaryota; Metazoa; Chordata; Actinopteri; Salmoniformes; Salmonidae.